GAUGAACGCUGGCGGUGUGCCUAAUACAUGCAAGUCGUACGCAUUCUCGUUUCUGAUUGACGGUGCUUGCACCUAAUUGACGAGACAUUGGAAUGAGUGGCGGACGGGUGAGUAACACGUGGGUAACCUGCCCAGAAGUGGGGGAUAACAUUUGGGAACAGAUGCUAAUACCGCAUAAAAGUCAAAACCACAUGGUUUUGAUUUAAAAGAUGGCCUUUGUGCUAUCACUUCUGGAUGGACCCGCGGCGUAUUAGCUAGUUGGUAAGGUAACGGGUUACCAAGGCAAUGAUACGUAGCCGAACUGAGAGGUUGAUCGGCCACAAUGGGACUGAGACACGGCCCAUACUCCUACGGGAGGCAGCAGUAGGGAAUCUUCCACAAUGGGCGCAAGCCUGAUGGAGCAACACCGCGUGAGUGAAGAAGGGUUUCGGCUCGUAAAACUCUGUUGUUAAAGAAGAACGUAUCUAAGAGUAACUGCUUAGGUAGUGACGGUAUUUAACCAGAAAGCCACGGCUAACUACGUGCCAGCCGCCGCAGUAA
RNAcentral lists this ribosomal RNA (540 nucleotides) under uncultured bacterium. RNAcentral's name for it is "partial 16S ribosomal RNA". It matches the Rfam family "Bacterial small subunit ribosomal RNA", at positions 28 to 523 of the family's 1533-position model. The record is from RNAcentral.